This 468-nucleotide ribosomal RNA is filed under the name uncultured bacterium. Its description in RNAcentral is "partial 16S ribosomal RNA". It matches the Rfam family "Bacterial small subunit ribosomal RNA", at positions 28 to 507 of the family's 1533-position model. The record is from RNAcentral.
GACGAACGCUGGCGGCGUGCUUAACACAUGCAAGUCGAACGGAAACACCCUGCUUUUUUCGGUUUCUCUGGUGGCGAACGGAUGAGUAACACGUGAGUAACCUGCCCUUGACUUUGGGGUAACUUCAGGAAACUGGGGCUAAUACCGGAUCGUAGCUCCUCCUGCACGGAGGGGGGGGGAAAGUUUCGGCGGGUGGGGAUGGACGCGCGGCUUAUCAGCUCGUUGGUGGGGGAGUGGGUUACCAAGGCUGUGACGGGUCGCCGGCCUGGGAGGGGGACCGGGCACAUUGGGACUGAGAGACGGCCCAGUGGCGUACGGGAGGCAGUAGGGGGGAACAUUAUGCAACGGGGGGAAGCCUAAUGCAGAAACGCCGGGUGCGGGAUGUAGGUCCUGGGGGUGGAAAGCGAGUACGCUUGUGACCAAGCGUGAUUGACGGUAAUGGGUAAAGAAGCACCGGCUAACUACGUG